GCAUCAACCUGAGAAGGCAGCUGUGACACUGCAGGGGGAGAAUACCCCCAGGCAGGUGGCCUGUCCAUCCCCACAGUUGCCAAGUGACACGUGCCUGCAGCCUGUGCACCUUGCAGAGUGAUAAACAGUUGUCAGGCUGAUGCUGGGAUGGUGCUGGUUACUUGCACACACUGAUGGCUGGUCACAGGGGAGGAGCUUUUCCCACUGACAGUGAAUCAUGCCUGUGGAUGCAUUCUCAUGGAAGCACCGUUACGCUUUUGGAAGCUUGGGAUGCACAGAAUGCCCUACUUCAAAUGCAAGAUAAAGCAUUGGCUGUUCAUGUGCAAAGUGCACCACUCUGAGUGUGCAGCUUUCAUAUAAAAGAAUAUUAGUCC
Long non-coding RNA from Hirundo rustica (Barn swallow), 374 nucleotides. RefSeq lists it as uncharacterized. NCBI's taxonomy places the organism in Eukaryota, Metazoa, Chordata, Aves, Passeriformes, Hirundinidae. The record is from RefSeq and is a predicted model, not a curated record. The transcript is spliced from 3 exons.